This 599-nucleotide ribosomal RNA is filed under the name Rhodococcoides fascians. RNAcentral describes it as "bacterial SSU rRNA". It matches the Rfam family "Bacterial small subunit ribosomal RNA", at positions 81 to 678 of the family's 1533-position model. Lineage: Bacteria; Bacillati; Actinomycetota; Actinomycetes; Mycobacteriales; Nocardiaceae. The record is from RNAcentral.
CUCCCAGGCGUCGAGCGGCGGACGGGUGAGUAACACUUAGGAAUCUACCUAGUAGUGGGGGAUAGCUCGGGGAAACUCGAAUUAAUACCGCAUACGACCUACGGGAGAAAGGGGGCAGUUUACUGCUCUCGCUAUUAGAUGAGCCUAAGUCGGAUUAGCUAGUUGGUGGGGUAAAGGCCUACCAAGGCGACGAUCUGUAGCUGGUCUGAGAGGAUGAUCAGCCACACCGGGACUGAGACACGGCCCGGACUCCUACGGGAGGCAGCAGUGGGGAAUAUUGGACAAUGGGGGGAACCCUGAUCCAGCCAUGCCGCGUGUGUGAAGAAGGCCUUUUGGUUGUAAAGCACUUUAAGCAGUGAAGAAGACCUAACGGUUAAUACCCGUUAGCGAUGACAUUAGCUGCAGAAUAAGCACCGGCUAACUCUGUGCCAGCAGCCGCGGUAAUACAGAGGGUGCAAGCGUUAAUCGGAAUUACUGGGCGUAAAGCGAGCGUAGGUGGCUUGAUAAGUCAGAUGUGAAAUCCCCGGGCUUAACCUGGGAACUGCAUCUGAUACUGUUAAGCUAGAGUAGGUGAGAGGGAAGUAGAAUUCCAGGUGUAG